Non-coding RNA from Oryctolagus cuniculus (rabbit), 434 nucleotides. NCBI's taxonomy places the organism in Eukaryota, Metazoa, Chordata, Mammalia, Lagomorpha, Leporidae. The record is from RefSeq and is a predicted model, not a curated record.
UCUGGAAUCUAAUCCAAAAUUAAAGCAGCUUAAUGAAGGAAAGCAUGGGUGAUUCGGAACAGAACAAUGUCCAUUAGGCAUGGGAGUGUGCAGAACAUGUACCAAAUUACACUGGUGAUGGAGACUCAGGGAAAAUGGACCAGAGAGCCCAGCUUUCACAUUUGGAAACCCAGCCUGAACCAAAAGUGCAUUCAAAUAGGUCUGAAAAGCUCAAGUGGAAAACGUCCUCCUUAAACUUCAUUUCAAAAGAGCCAAAAUUCCAAGAUAAUGCAUCUUAAGAGAAGAAGGAAUAAGAAACAAAAAGCUUGACCUUGUCAAAGAGCCUCCAUCUGGCUGGGAAAGGGUGAUUCCUAGGAGGGAUGUCUGUCAUGAUUAUUUGUUUUCUGCCCAGGGAUCCUUGCAGCCUUGUCUGAGUGAGGCAAUUGUAAAUAAAA